AGCGAACGCUGGCGGCAGGCCUAACACAUGCAAGUCGAACGAAGUCUUCGGACUUAGUGGCGGACGGGUGAGUAACACGUGGGAACGUACCUUUUGGUUCGGAACAACUCAGGGAAACUUGAGCUAAUACCGGAUGAGCCCUUAGGGGGAAAGAUUUAUCGCCGAAAGAGCGGCCCGCGUUAGAUUAGCUAGUUGGUGAGGUAAAGGCUCACCAAGGCUACGAUCUAUAGCUGGUCUGAGAGGAUGAUCAGCCGCACUGGGACUGAGACACGGCCCAGACUCCUACGGGAGGCAGCAGUGGGGAAUCUUGCGCAAUGGGCGAAAGCCUGACGCAGCCAUGCCGCGUGAAUGAUGAAGGUCUUAGGAUUGUAAAAUUCUUUUACCAGGGACGAUAAUGACGGUACCUGGAGAAAAAGCCCCGGCUAACUUCGUGCCAGCAGCCGCAGUAA
This 449-nucleotide ribosomal RNA is filed under the name uncultured bacterium. Its description in RNAcentral is "partial 16S ribosomal RNA". It matches the Rfam family "Bacterial small subunit ribosomal RNA", at positions 29 to 523 of the family's 1533-position model. The record is from RNAcentral.